CACGUAGUCAGCCGGUGCUUCUUUACCCAUUACCGUCACUCACGCUUCGUCACAGGCGAAAGCGGUUUACAACCCGAAGGCCGUCAUCCCGCACGCGGCGUUGCUGCAUCAGGCUUCCGCCCAUUGUGCAAUAUUCCCCACUGCUGCCUCCCGUAGGAGUCUGGGCCGUAUCUCAGUCCCAAUGUGGCCGGUCACCCUCUCAGGCCGGCUACCCGUCAAAGCCUUGGUAAGCCACUACCCCACCAACAAGCCGAUAAGCCGCGAGUCCAUCCCCAACCGCCGAAACUUUCCAACCCCCACCAUGCAGCAGGAGCUCCUAUCCGGUAUUAGCCCCAGUUUCCUGAAGUUAUCCCAAAGUCAAGGGCAGGUUACUCACGUGUUACUCACCCGUUCGCCACUCGAGCACCCCACAAAAGCAGGGCCUUUCCGUCGACUUGCAUGUGUUAAGCACGCCGCCAGCGUUCGUCCUGAGCCACGGAUCAAACUCU
RNAcentral lists this ribosomal RNA (488 nucleotides) under uncultured Propionibacterium sp. Its description in RNAcentral is "partial 16S ribosomal RNA". The record is from RNAcentral. Lineage: Bacteria; Bacillati; Actinomycetota; Actinomycetes; Propionibacteriales; Propionibacteriaceae.